This 374-nucleotide long non-coding RNA is filed under the name Apteryx owenii (little spotted kiwi). Its description in RNAcentral is "lncRNA (ENSAOWG00000010662.1)". Lineage: Eukaryota; Metazoa; Chordata; Aves; Apterygiformes; Apterygidae. The record is from RNAcentral.
GGCCGCGGAGGGCGGUGGCCUGGCCCGGCCCGCGUGCGCAGCAGGCCCCGGCUGCCCCGAAACCGCCGCUUUUUGGCACCAAGGUGGAAGAGCAGCCAGAGAGGAAGCUUGGAGGGGCCUGAGCGCUGGCGGGCCUCGGUAAAGCCGUGUACAAAAUGCUUGUUAAAUGCUGACAGCCGGCAUGAUGUUGCACAAGACAUGAGAAACGACAGCAGGAAAAUUCCGAAGAAACAUAACUAAGGAUGUGUCCCCCUGGAAACCAGACAGCAGAUUCAGUGUCUUGGAUUCAUGAACGCAGUAUUCAUUGCAGGUGGGGGAAACAGCUAACUUAUAUCAAGGUAAGCUUUAUUUUCCUUUGUAAAACGCCCUGAUGU